GAGUGCCUACGGGACGCAGCAGUAGGGAAUCUUCGGUAAUGGGGGCAACCCUGACCGAGCAACGCCGCGUGAGUGAAGAAGGUUUUCGGAUCGUAAAGCUCUGUUGUAAGAGAAGAACGUGUGUGAGAGUGGAAAGUUCACACAGUGACGGUAACUUACCAGAAAGGGACGGCUAACUACGUGCCAGCAGCCGCGGUAAUACGUAGGUCCCGAGCGUUAUCCGGAUUUAUUGGGCGUAAAGCGAGCGCAGGCGGUUGGAUAAGUCUGAAGUUAAAGGUUGGGGGUUAACCAUAGUAUGCUUUGGG
Molecule: ribosomal RNA, 305 nt
Filed under: uncultured bacterium
Lineage: Bacteria
Description: bacterial SSU rRNA
Rfam family: Bacterial small subunit ribosomal RNA
Source: RNAcentral